RNAcentral lists this ribosomal RNA (1211 nucleotides) under Clostridioides difficile. RNAcentral describes it as "partial 23S ribosomal RNA". It matches the Rfam family "Bacterial large subunit ribosomal RNA", at positions 1 to 1217 of the family's 2925-position model. The record is from RNAcentral. Lineage: Bacteria; Bacillati; Bacillota; Clostridia; Peptostreptococcales; Peptostreptococcaceae.
GGUCAAGUUAUUAAGGGUGCAGGGCGGAUGCCUUGGCACUAGGAGCCGAUGAAGGACGUGAUAAGCUGCGAUAAGCUUCGGGGAGUUGCACGUAAACUUUGAUCCGAAGAUUUCCGAAUGAGGAAACUCACUUAGAGUAAUGUCUAAGUAUCAUUAAGUGAAUACAUAGCUUAAUGAGGGGAACUCAGGGAACUGAAACAUCUAAGUACCUGAAGGAAGAGAAAGAAAUUCGAUUCCGUAAGUAGCGGCGAGCGAACGCGGAUUAGCCCAAACCAAUAAAGUUUUCUUUAUUGGGGUUGCGGACAUAUCAUAACGAAGAGGUAUCGUAAUUGAAGAGGUUUGGAAAGACCCACCACAGAAGGUAAUAGUCCUGUAUGUUAAACGAGAAGACUUCAGAUAUGAUCCAGAGUACCACGGGACACGUGAAACCCUGUGGGAAGCAGGAGGGACCACCCUCCAAGGCUAAAUACUACCUAGUGACCGAUAGCGUAUAGUACCGUGAGGGAAAGGUGAAAAGAACCCCGGGAGGGGAGUGAAAUAGAACCUGAAACCCUGCACUUACAAGCUGUGGAAGCACAUUUCUUGUGUGACCGCGUACUUUUUGUAGAACGGGCCAACGAGUUACGUUAAGUAGCAAGGUUAAGCACUUAAGGUGUGGAGCCGUAGCGAAAGCGAGUUUUAACUGAGCGUUCAGUUACUUGACGUAGACCCGAAACCGGGCGACCUACCCAUGAGCAGGAUGAAGCGAAAGUAAAAUUUCGUGGAGGUCCGAACCCACGAGCGUUGAAAAGCUCGGGGAUGACUUGUGGGUAGCGGUGAAAUUCCAAUCGAGCCCGGAGAUAGCUGGUUCUCCCCGAAAUAGCUUUAGGGCUAGCCUCAAGGUGAGAGAUACGGAGGUAGAGCACUGAAUGUCCUAGGGGGUAUUGCACCUACCGAAGACUAUCAAACUCCGAAUGCCGUCAUCUUAUACUUGGGAGUCAGACUGUGGGUGAUAAGAUUCAUAGUCGAAAGGGCAACAGCCCAGAUCGUCAGCUAAGGUCCCUAAAUGUAAGUUAAGUGGUAAAGGAUGUGGGAUUGCACAGACAACCAGGAUGUUGGCUUAGAAGCAGCCACUCAUUCAAAGAGUGCGUAAUAGCUCACUGGUCGAGUGAUCCUGCGCCGAAGAUUUCCGGGGCUAAAACUUACUACCGAAGCUACGGCAUCAGUAAUGA